This 253-nucleotide ribosomal RNA is filed under the name uncultured bacterium. RNAcentral's name for it is "partial 16S ribosomal RNA". It matches the Rfam family "Bacterial small subunit ribosomal RNA", at positions 524 to 776 of the family's 1533-position model. The record is from RNAcentral.
UACGUAGGUGGCGAGCGUUGUCCGGAUUUACUGGGCGUAAAGAGCGCGCAGGCGGUCAUUCAAGUCGAGUGUGAAAGCCCCCGGCUCAACUGGGGAGGGUCAUUCGAUACUGAUCGACUCGAAGGCAGGAGAGGGUAGUGGAAUUCCCGGUGUAGUGGUGAAAUGCGUAGAUAUCGGGAGGAACACCAGUGGCGAAGGCGACUACCUGGCCUGUUCUUGACGCUGAGGCGCGAAAGCUAGGGGAGCAAACGGG